ACGUGAUCUGAGUUCAGACCGGAGUAAUCCAGGUCGGUUUCUAUCUAUAACAGAGCUUUUCCUAGUACGAAAGGACCGAAAAAGCAUAGCCAAUACUUAAAGCAAGCUAUAACUACUAAUUUAUGAUAACCACUUAAUUUAUUACUAGCCUACAACUGCCCUCAAAAUAAGGGG
Molecule: ribosomal RNA, 174 nt
Filed under: Scinax similis (Cochran's snouted treefrog)
Lineage: Eukaryota; Metazoa; Chordata; Amphibia; Anura; Hylidae
Description: partial 16S large subunit ribosomal RNA
Source: RNAcentral